GUACCCUUCUGUUUGUUUUCAAGUUAUCCAAAGGCUUCCGAAAGACUAUAGGCCAUAAUUCUCGACAUAAGAAACGCAUCACGUCAGUAGUCUCUGUAAUUCUAUUCCUGUUCAAUAAAAGUCUGUUCAAUCAAUUACUUUCUGGUUACUCGCAACGCAUCCUACUUAGGUUAACAAAAAGUUAUCCGUGAGUAAGACAGUAUGAGCUCCCAGCAAAGUAAUUUGUGUUAGUAGAAUUCUAUUUAGCUUAUUUAUUGUCGAAGAGUAUGGAGUUAUCGCAGCAUAGAAAACCUCAAAAAGACGCCUUUUGUUUUUAUCCUAAAAGAAGACUGCGAUAAUAUAUAUAACUCAUAGCCUUAUUCAUAUCACUUACCUUUCUGUUAUUUUUCUUCCAACUUGGAAACCUAUCGAUUCAAGCAUUUGGAAGUCUGAUUCAAUCGAUUUUUCAGAUGAACUUUUCUUUUUGCGAUCUUCAGCCAGCCGUUUUGCCGUGUGCACCAAUUCUAUUAGCAAAAAAUCUAAAGAUGCUACAUUUACAGACAUGGGCAGUUGCUGAUGCACAAUCAUUUCUAAAAACUGAAAUCUGAAUAUUUGCACUAAUAAGGAUAUCUGAGUGUUACACCUCCACAGAGUAUGAAAGUGACGACAAGUUUGGCUCAAAUAUUAAUUCAAACAUAUGAUUUACUUUAAUACUUUAUUUUUAAAUUAAUGCAUUAUUAUUUUAUUAGAUAUUUCUAAUUCGAUGGCUAAACACAAUUAUGCCAAGGAAUUUAUGGAUGCUUGAAUACUUACGAGUAAUCGAGUACUCGUCUUGAUAUUUUUUAAAAAAGAACCACAAAUUUAAAGGAAAAAAUUCGUAUAUUUAAAUUAUACAUGGUGCUCUCCAAAAUAUUUUGAAAUUUAACAUUUACGUGUCAUAUCGA
This is a non-coding RNA of Schizosaccharomyces pombe (fission yeast), 923 nucleotides long. The record is from the annotation of a GenBank genome assembly. NCBI's taxonomy places the organism in Eukaryota, Fungi, Ascomycota, Schizosaccharomycetes, Schizosaccharomycetales, Schizosaccharomycetaceae.